This 252-nucleotide ribosomal RNA is filed under the name uncultured bacterium. RNAcentral's name for it is "partial 16S ribosomal RNA". It matches the Rfam family "Bacterial small subunit ribosomal RNA", at positions 524 to 776 of the family's 1533-position model. The record is from RNAcentral.
UACGGAGGAUGCGAGCGUUAUCCGGAUUUAUUGGGUUUAAAGGGUGCGUAGGCGGACUGUCAAGUCAGCGGUAAAAUUGAGAGGCUCAACCUCUUCCCGCCGUUGAAACUGGGGGCCUUGAGUGGGCGAGAAGAAGGCGGAAUGCGUGGUGUAGCGGUGAAAUGCAUAGAUAUCACGCAGAACCCCGAUUGCGAAGGCAGCCUUCCGGCGCCCUACUGACGCUGAGGCACGAAAGUGCGGGGAUCGAACAGG